GGUUAGUCCGCAACGAGCGCAACCCUUGUCAUUAGUUGCCAUCAUUUAGUUGGGCACUCUAAUGAGACUGCCGGUGACAAACCGGAGGAAGGUGGGGAUGACGUCAAGUCCUCAUGGCCCUUAUGGGUAGGGCUUCACACGUCAUACAAUGGUCGGUACAGAGGGUUGCCAAGCCGCGAGGUGGAGCCAAUCCCAGAAAGCCGAUCGUAGUCCGGAUCGCAGUCUGCAACUCGACUGCGUGAAGUCGGAAUCGCUAGUAAUCGCGGAUCAGCAUGCCGCGGUGAAUACGUUCCCGGGUCUU
RNAcentral lists this ribosomal RNA (301 nucleotides) under uncultured Azospira sp. RNAcentral's name for it is "bacterial SSU rRNA". It matches the Rfam family "Bacterial small subunit ribosomal RNA", at positions 1078 to 1382 of the family's 1533-position model. Lineage: Bacteria; Pseudomonadati; Pseudomonadota; Betaproteobacteria; Rhodocyclales; Rhodocyclaceae. The record is from RNAcentral.